GCCCUAGCGGCACAACAGUUAAGCAUUCGGCUGAUAGCUGAAAGAUUGGUGGUUCGAACCCACCCAGUGGCU
This 72-nucleotide transfer RNA is filed under the name Loxodonta africana (African savanna elephant). It matches the Rfam family "tRNA". Rfam says of the family: Transfer RNA (tRNA) molecules are approximately 80 nucleotides in length. Lineage: Eukaryota; Metazoa; Chordata; Mammalia; Proboscidea; Elephantidae. The record is from Rfam by way of RNAcentral.